GCCAAAGUAGUUCAGUGGUAGAACGCUUUCUUGGUAAGAAAGAGGUCGAGGGUUCGAUUCCCUCCUUUGGCUCAA
RNAcentral lists this transfer RNA (75 nucleotides) under Candidatus Wolfebacteria bacterium CG_4_10_14_0_2_um_filter_39_18. RNAcentral describes it as "tRNA-Thr". It matches the Rfam family "tRNA". From Rfam's summary of the family: Transfer RNA (tRNA) molecules are approximately 80 nucleotides in length. Their secondary structure includes four short double-helical elements and three loops (D, anti-codon, and T loops). Further hydrogen bonds mediate the characteristic L-shaped molecular structure. tRNAs have two regions of fundamental functional importance: the anti-codon, which is responsible for specific mRNA codon recognition, and the 3' end, to which the tRNAs corresponding amino acid is attached (by aminoacyl-tRNA synthetases). tRNAs cope with the degeneracy of the genetic code in two manners: having more than one tRNA (with a specific anti-codon) for a particular amino acid; and 'wobble' base-pairing, i.e. permitting non-standard base-pairing at the 3rd anti-codon position. The record is from RNAcentral. Lineage: Bacteria; Candidatus Wolfeibacteriota.